Long non-coding RNA from Larimichthys crocea (large yellow croaker), 1056 nucleotides. RefSeq lists it as uncharacterized. The record is from RefSeq and is a predicted model, not a curated record. NCBI's taxonomy places the organism in Eukaryota, Metazoa, Chordata, Actinopteri, Sciaenidae. The transcript is spliced from 3 exons.
GGUCACUUGCCCUUCCUCAUGUGUCUGAUUGUCUUCCCUGAUCCCUGAUUGUGUCCACUUGUUCCCCAUUUCCCUCCAUGUGCUUAUAGUCUGUAUUUCCCUUUGUCCUGUGCCAGUGUGUCAAGUCCUUUGUCCUGAUCACCAGCCCUCUCGUCUUUUUUUUUUUUUGUUGGCUCUGCCCUUUUGUAGUUCUAGUUUGUGCUUUUGAUCAUCCCUCUUUGUGAGGCGCUUUUUGUUUUCCCACUGUUACGAAAUAAAGUCAUCUGCUUCAGCCCGUAUUCUGCGUUCGAGUUCUCUGCUUUGAGUUCCCCUGUUGUCACUGACGUUUGUGUACCGCCGCAAUAUGGUCCUUGACCCCCAGCAGUUGAGCAACAUACUGCCUGACUUUCCACGUUUUAAAGACGUCAAAGGCUUGGUAAUUAUCUAUCAUUAUUUUUAAAAUAUUAUGACAGUUGAAUAGUUUUUAUAAGACGGUAGACAGGCAUUGUCAUAGUACUAGAACAAUCACCCAUUAACUUUGGUUGCCUGUCAAAAAAUUGAAAUUGUCACCCAAUACAACCCCACUCCAGGUUUCAUUCUGAUGUUUGGAGAGGGUACCUCAAGCAAGCUUCUGGAGAGGUGGCUGAUCCUCCUGAGGAUGGCACUGAAGUGGAUGUUGAUUUUGAGCCACUGAAUUUUGUUGACAGUCUGCCAUCACCACCAGAGCUCAACCCUGUCUCCUGGCUGUUGGGAGUUAAGAAGAAAUCAAUCCAGCAGAUCUUCAUCAUUCUUGACAAGAGUCAAGAGGAGGAGAUGAGCAGACUGGUUCAAGAUGAUAGAAAAAGGCAGCGUAUACUAAGAAGUUGGUCUGUAAUAAAACAGUAGGGCAAUUAAUAUAUAUUCUUUUCAUUUCUUUAGGCAACAGAAAUGUGUAACAGGGUGGAACACUUCCUAAUCAAGGUGCCACAGACACCAGCCUUACCUGUUGAACAUCCGGAUAAUGAAGCUCCACCUCCAUAUUUGCCCCAACCACAAGGUGAAGGCAGUGCAAACAAGGGGGUGCAAGUCAUUGUCAUA